This 601-nucleotide unclassified non-coding RNA is filed under the name Hevea brasiliensis (rubber tree). The record is from RNAcentral. Lineage: Eukaryota; Viridiplantae; Streptophyta; Magnoliopsida; Malpighiales; Euphorbiaceae.
AGCUGGGGCUUGGGCAGCAAUGAUAUCUUUAGGCUCCGAAGGAUACUUGGAAAACACCAAGGAGAUCAUGGAGGCAUCAAAAAGAAUUCAGAAAGGGAUACAAGACAUUCCAGAACUGUAUGUUAUUGGAAGGCCUGAUAUGAGUAUAAUUGCUUUUGGAUCUGAUGUUGUAGACAUAUUUGAAGUCAAUGAUGUUCUGUCGUCCAAAGGCUGGCAUUUAAAUGCAUUACAGAGACCUAACAGUGUUCAUAUUUGUGUGACGCUUCAACAUGUACCAGUAGUCCAGAUUUUUCUGAAGGAUCUUAGAGAUUCCGUGCAGACUGUGAAAGAAAAUCCGGGCCCAGUUAACGGAGGGUUUGCUCCAAUCUACGGUGCUGCAGGGAAGAUGCCAGAUAGAGUUAUGGUUCAAGAUUUACUGGUGGAAUUUAUGGACAGUUCAUGCUAGUGAUUUUUCAGCAUACUGUUUGCAUAGUUACUGCUGAAUAGAAAAAAUUGCAAGGGUUAAUUAAUAUUGGAUUUUCUGCAUUAUGGUGAAUACAAACAGAAUGUUAACAAUUGAACACUAUUGAUUCCUUUGUACUUGCUGAAUGCAUGCUAAAAU